CGCCCGAGCUGGGCAAUCAGAAUCCGCGUGCUGGGGCCCUGGACUCCAGAGACUCUUGUGUGAGUGUCUCUCCAAUGCAAGAAGGUGUCAGCUGGGGCCCAGGCGUGGGUCGCAGGAAGCGUGCAGGGGGCACGGUGCCGCACAUCGAAGCCAGAGCCCUGCCGCAGCCUCGGACCGGGGCCCAGGAGACCCGGGAUUCUCAGGACGAGUCCUCCCUCUUCUGGCUUAGGCCUGACCGGGUUCCUCUCUGUUUCGUGCAACCACAAAAAUCCUAAUUACUCCCCUUCUGUCGUUGGAGCACAGGCAGAAACACGUCGACAUCCCCCGCGAGCUCCCUGAGGACGUCGAUAAGUGGAGUCUCUGCUUUCAACCAUGUUCUGAGUCUUAAAUCUUGGACACGCAGCCUCGAUGCGGGGCUGGAGGGGAUGCUCUGGGGAACCCCGGGCAGGCUGCUGGCGGGUGCAGCUCCCGGCGCUCCCCCACUCCCCCAGCCCGGACACACGGCUGCUCUCCAGGAGCCCAGGUUGGGUGGGAGUCCGUGUUCUGACGCGAAGGGGACCGCAGUGGGUGUUUAGGCACACGGGGGCUCCCAGGGGGCCGGGGCUGGGUCCCGCCUCCCCCGUUCACAAGGCACACGGCCCUGGGCAAAUUAUUUAAUCUUUUGAAGCCUUCCUUUAAAAUUUGUCAGUUGGAAGACAAUGAUACUGUCGGGUUUUGAGGAUUAAGUAAGAUUUUGCUUAUUAUGGUUAUGAGGCCAACUGGGUCCCCCCUGCCCCAGCCCAUCUCGUACGCGGGACUCCUGGCCCCAGCACCAGAACGGGACCUUAUUUGGAGGCCGGGUCUUUACAGACGGGUCCAGCUAGGCGGGGGUCACUAGGUGGGCCUCAUCCGGCACGUCCUUGUUGAAAGGGGGAUUUGGCCCCAGAUGGGCACGCAGGGGGAGCCCCAUGUGAAGUGGGGGAGGGAGCAGGAUGCACAUGUAUGAGUGACAGCGAAGCCGCCACCAGACUCCAGCGCGAGAGGCUGGCGCAGAUUCCCCGCCCGGGUCCUCGGGAGGCUCCUGCCCCGCUGUGGCCUCCACCUCAGACGUCCAGGCCCCAACCUGGGUUCCUGCCGGCAAUUGCUCUUUCCUUCCCGGGGGAGGGGGAGCGGAAGUGUGUGCACAUCAUGGUAUUUCCAGAUGUGAAAUCUCCGUUGAGCAGAGAGAGAGGGUUCUCUCCGGUGUGUGGUCGGCUGAGUCCGGAGCCCGUCCCAGUCCCUGGAACCUGAGCCUCCGUCGCCUGCCGCAGGGAUUUUGCAGAUGGGAUGGAGCAAGGGCCCUGGAGCGGGAGGCGUCCCCGGAGCCCCGGAGGCCCGGACACCGGCACAGACGGUCACGAGGGGCUGGCAGGAGGGUCGGGUCACCGGGAUCACUGGGAGGCGGCCUUGAAGAGUCGGAACAAUGGGUCUUCGUGGGCAGCCCGUCCCUCCCGUGGAGCGCGUGGCCGAGGAGGGGUCCGAGGAAGGGCUGCGUCUCUAACCUGCAGGCCUCCUGGGGGACGACGUGUUUGCUUUGGCCCAUAAAUCAGUCCCACGGAUCACUUCGGGAAUCGUUAGGCUUUAUCAUGACGCGUUGCCACCUUUGAGGGAAUAAUUGCCCAGUUUGGCCAACUUGGGACCUGCUUCCUUCAUCUUAAUUUCCUCUCUGGGGAUGCCCUAAUUAGUAUUUACUUUCACUUAAAAGAGAGAAAUUUCUUCUGAUGCAAUCAACAGUUUCCCUUGCGUGCCAAGCUUGUUUUAUGAUAUUAAGCAUUUAAAUAAAAAAUUAUAAACGUACCGUGAAAUGCUGAUGGGG
Molecule: long non-coding RNA, 1834 nt
Filed under: Canis lupus familiaris (dog)
Lineage: Eukaryota; Metazoa; Chordata; Mammalia; Carnivora; Canidae
Description: lncRNA (ENSCAFG00030020792.1)
Source: RNAcentral